UUAUACCACUGCUUUCUUUUUUUUAACGUUUCAAAAGUCUGAGCGUUACUAAGCUAAUCAGGCUUCUCUGACAAUGCUAAUCAAUUGUUCAGCAGUCUACCUUUGGCUUAAUUACUGUUGCACUACAUUACAUUUUCAAAAUGUCAAGAAUCCUCUUCUGGAAAUGCAAUAAAUCAUGCCUACAUGGUGUCGUAGACAGCCUGUUAUUCCCUCACACCUGACCUUGGCUGCGUGAAGUUGAAAUUGAUCAUUUACUGCAGUGGUACAAUGUUAUACAGAAAGGAGCUUCAAUAAGAAUCAUAGCACAAAAGAAAAAAAGAAAAAAAAUAAGCUUUUCAGCACAUCC
This 346-nucleotide long non-coding RNA is filed under the name Homo sapiens (human). RNAcentral's name for it is "non-protein coding lnc-LRIG1-5:1". Lineage: Eukaryota; Metazoa; Chordata; Mammalia; Primates; Hominidae. The record is from RNAcentral.